UGGCGAACGGGUGAGUAACACGUGGGUAACCUGCCCAUCAGAAGGGGAUAACACUUGGAAACAGGUGCUAAUACCGUAUAACACUAUUUUCCGCAUGGAAGAAAGUUGAAAGGCGCUUUUGCGUCACUGAUGGAUGGACCCGCGGUGCAUUAGCUAGUUGGUGAGGUAACGGCUCACCAAGGCAACGAUGCAUAGCCGACCUGAGAGGGUGAUCGGCCACACUGGGACUGAGACACGGCCCAGACUCCUACGGGAGGCAGCAGUAGGGAAUCUUCGGCAAUGGACGAAAGUCUGACCGAGCAACGCCGCGUGAGUGAAGAAGGUUUUCGGAUCGUAAAACUCUGUUGUUAGGGAAGAACAAGGAUGAGAGUAAAACGUUCAUCCCUUGACGGAUCUAACCAG
This 402-nucleotide ribosomal RNA is filed under the name Enterococcus casseliflavus. RNAcentral describes it as "bacterial SSU rRNA". It matches the Rfam family "Bacterial small subunit ribosomal RNA", at positions 96 to 486 of the family's 1533-position model. Lineage: Bacteria; Bacillati; Bacillota; Bacilli; Lactobacillales; Enterococcaceae. The record is from RNAcentral.